This 580-nucleotide ribosomal RNA is filed under the name uncultured bacterium. RNAcentral's name for it is "partial 16S ribosomal RNA". It matches the Rfam family "Bacterial small subunit ribosomal RNA", at positions 355 to 923 of the family's 1533-position model. The record is from RNAcentral.
UGGGGAAUUUUGGACAAUGGGCGAAAGCCUGAUCCAGCAAUGCCGCGUGUGUGAAGAAGGCCUUCGGGUUGUAAAGCACUUUUGUCCGGAAAGAAAUCCUUGGCUCUAAUACAGUCGGGGGAUGACGGUACCGGAAGAAUAAGCACCGGCUAACUACGUGCCAGCAGCCGCGGUAAUACGUAGGGUGCAAGCGUUAAUCGGAAUUACUGGGCGUAAAGCGUGCGCAGGCGGUUUGCUAAGACCGAUGUGAAAUCCCCGGGCUCAACCUGGGAACUGCAUUGGUGACUGGCAGGCUAGAGUAUGGCAGAGGGGGGUAGAAUUCCACGUGUAGCAGUGAAAUGCGUAGAGAUGUGGAGGAAUACCGAUGGCGAAGGCAGCCCCCUGGGCCAACACUGACGCUCAUGCACGAAAGCGUGGGGGAGCAAACAGGAUUAGAUACCCCUGGUAGUCCACGCCCCUAAACGAUGUCAACUAGUUGUUGGGGGAUUCAUUUCCUUAGUAACGUAGCUAACGCGUGAAGUUGACCGCCUGGGGGAGUACGGUCGCAAGAUUAAAACUCAAAUGAAUUGACGGGGUCAUA